This is a long non-coding RNA of Gavialis gangeticus (Gharial), 111 nucleotides long. RefSeq lists it as uncharacterized. The record is from RefSeq and is a predicted model, not a curated record. The transcript has 3 exons. Lineage: Eukaryota; Metazoa; Chordata; Crocodylia; Gavialidae.
AGGGAGCUGUCUGAACUGUUCAUCUUGUACGGUGUUGUUUUGAAGCGUCUGUAUCCACAUCUCAGUCUGUUCAGCUUGACCCAUGCUUCUCUAUUAAGCUUGUACCCAAUG